AUAGUCCAUCCUCUGUCACCUAAAUUAUGUUUUUCCCUUGUAAUAAAAUAAAUAAAGACCAAAGGGUUUUAUUUUACCAGAGGACGCAGAUUAUAGAGAGACAGAAAAAUAUAAUUCCUUGCUUAGGAGGAGAGAAAGGUAUGCAUAAAGAGGUUUUUUAAAAGAAAGAGAGAGGCUUAUUGAAGAAAAUGGAGAACAGCAGUGGUGGCAGCAGCGAUUACAGUAACAGUAGGAUUGUAGUGACAAAUGAGAAAAAGCCUAUGCAAGGAAUCAAAAUAGAGAAUCCCUUUACUUUCAAAGUACUUCAAGUAUUUACUGGCUUUGGUUUUGGCUGUGGUAUUGGUAUUGGUCAAGGCAUGCCUGUAAAUAUGGGUGCAUUGCCAAUGGUGGGCCAAGUAAUGAGUGCAACUAGAGGCGCAACUGAUGCCUUUUCUGGAAUUACCAGGCAUGUAAAUACUGCACUUUGGAAGCUGGGAGCUAAGAACAUUCAAGCAGGCGUUGGAUGUGGAGUUGGUUUCGGCCAUGGCUUUGGAAUUGGUCUUGCAGUGAAACCUGGGGCAGUGCAGAAGAUGCAAGCUUGUUUUCUAGAAGUAUUGAUGAAGAUGAUGACAAAACUUGGAAUAGCACCCAAUUUAUCAAUUGGUCAAGGUGCCCUUCCAAUGUCUUUGCAAAGUGGCGUGAGCAUGUUGACUGAAUCUUCAAUCCAAAACCCAUUGGGAAAUAUUACACAGUUAGCAAGAAAACUCCCAGAUCAAACAUCUCAAAGUCUGUAUGGAUAUGGAAAUGUUAGUUCACAUUCAAGUUCUGAAAGUUCCACUUCAAAAGGCAGUGAUACUUCUUUUGGUAGCCGAACAGAGAAGGUGAUUAGCAGUUUUCUCCAAAAUCCUAUUCUGAAAGAAGAUGGCACUGACAUAAAUGAAUUGGCUGGACGUUUGCGGUCAGAAAACAACAUGCUUCAAAUGGUGUUGAGACACCAGCAAAUCAUUGAAGAGCUAAUGGAGGAGAAUCAAAAGCUUCGUCAGAUACUUGUAGAAGACCUAAAAAUACCACCCAACAAGCUCCAGGCCAGUCACUCAACUAUAAAUAAAUCUCCAUGCACUGAUUGUUUUGAGUGCCGAAGAAGACAGAGAAAAAAGUAGAUGAAGAUGACUAAAUUUCUCAUAUUCUUGAUCAUUAAGAUCUCGAUGAAUGCCCCUUUUGAGCUAUUUGGAUGUUUUGCCCCAGAUUCAAAUGCUAUUUUGAAGGACCAUUCUCAGGAGGCAUCAAUUCUAUACAAAGAGGGGAUAUGAGAUUAUAUAGGUAGAUGCAGGUAUUCUUGCAAAUAAUUGAUUAAAGUUCAUCUAUCCAAAGGCUUGAAGAGUUUCUGAGCCAGAAGGUAGAGUUUUCUCAAGGAAUGCAUGCAUUGGCAUCAUACCUUUGGUGGAUAAAAAGGUGAAGAAAGGUUUUUAUGACUCUUACUUAAGUAGUCCUUUGAAGUGGAAUCCAAGGCUUUUUUUGUGAUUUUUUUAUGUGAAACAGUGCCUCCUGAGUAUGUGGCAUGAGAUUCCAGUUUCUUCUUACAAACUGAAUUUAUUCUCUAUUCCCUACAUAUACAUAGUGGAACGAAUAAUAAUAGCAUCAGAGGUCACUAUGUAGAAGUGGUAAUGAAGUUCUGAA
This is an RNA transcript of Populus trichocarpa (black cottonwood), 1656 nucleotides long. RefSeq lists it as uncharacterized. NCBI's taxonomy places the organism in Eukaryota, Viridiplantae, Streptophyta, Magnoliopsida, Malpighiales, Salicaceae. The record is from RefSeq and is a predicted model, not a curated record. The transcript is spliced from 8 exons.